Molecule: ribosomal RNA, 462 nt
Filed under: uncultured bacterium
Lineage: Bacteria
Description: partial 16S ribosomal RNA
Rfam family: Bacterial small subunit ribosomal RNA
Source: RNAcentral
GAUGAACGCUGACAGAAUGCUUAACACAUGCAAGUCUUUGGCGAAGCUGUGCUUGCACAGCCUAGCCAAGGCGGACGGGUGAGUAACGCGUAAGGAACUUGCCCUGCAGUCAGGGAUAACAGACGGAAACGACUGAUAAGACCUGGUAAAGUCAGGCGGACUCAUGUCCAGCCUGAUGAAAAGAGAUGCUGCAGGAGAGCCUUGCGUCCUAUUAGCUUGUUGGUGGGGUAACGGCCCACCAAGGCGAUGAUAGGUAGCCGGCCUGAGAGGGUGGACGGCCACAAGGGGACUGAGAUACGGCCCUUACUCCUACGGGAGGCAGCAGUGGGGAAUAUUGGACAAUGGGGGCAACCCUGAUCCAGCAAUGCUGUGUGCACGAUGAAGGUUUUCGGAUUGUAAAGUGCUUUCAGCAGGGAAGAAAAAAAUGACGGUACCUGCAGAAGAAGCGACGGCUAAAUACGU